UACACUCCUACGGGAGGCAGCAGUGGGGAAUAUUGGCCAAUGGGCGCAAGCCUGAUCCAGCCAUGCCGCGUGAGUGAUGAAGGCCCUAGGGUUGUAAAGCUCUUUCACCGGUGAAGAUAAUGACGGUAACCGGAGAAGAAGCCCCGGCUAACUUCGUGCCAGCAGCCGCGGUAAUACGAAGGGGGCUAGCGUUGUUCGGAUUUACUGGGCGUAAAGCGCACGUAGGCGGACUAUUAAGUCAGGGGUGAAAUCCCGGGGCUCAACCCCGGAACUGCCUUUGAUACUGGUAGUCUUGAGUUCGAGAGAGGUGAGUGGAAUUCCGAGUGUAGAGGUGAAAUUCGUAGAUAUUCGGAGGAACACCAGUGGCGAAGGCGGCUCACUGGCUCGAUACUGACGCUGAGGUGCGAAAGCGUGGGGAGCAAACAGGAUUAGAUACCCUAGUAGUCCCAUG
Molecule: ribosomal RNA, 451 nt
Filed under: uncultured organism
Description: partial 16S ribosomal RNA
Rfam family: Bacterial small subunit ribosomal RNA
Source: RNAcentral